GAGUUUGAUCCUGGCUCAGAACGAACGCUGGCGGCAAGCUUAACACAUGCAAGUCGAACGGAUUAUUCUUGUAGCUUGCUAUGAGAAUAAUUAGUGGCAGACGGGUGAGUAAUGCAUAGGAAUCUACCUAGUAGUAUAGGAUAGCCACUAGAAAUGGUGGGUAAUACUGUAUAAUCCCUGCGGGGGAAAGAUUUAUCGCUACAUGAUGAGCCUAUGUUAGAUUAGCUAGUUGGUGGGGUAAUGGCCUACCAAGGCAGUGAUCUAUAGCUGGUCUGAGAGGAUGAUCAGCCACACUGGAACUGAGACACGGUCCAGACUCCUACGGGAGGCAGCAGUGGGGAAUAUUGGACAAUGGGCGCAAGCCUGAUCCAGCUAUGCCUGGGCAGUGA
Molecule: ribosomal RNA, 389 nt
Filed under: Anaplasma bovis
Lineage: Bacteria; Pseudomonadati; Pseudomonadota; Alphaproteobacteria; Rickettsiales; Anaplasmataceae
Description: bacterial SSU rRNA
Rfam family: Bacterial small subunit ribosomal RNA
Source: RNAcentral